CACAUGCAAGCCGAGCGGUAACAGGUCCAGCUUGCUGGAUGCUGACGAGCGGCGGACGGGUGAGUAAUGCAUAGGAAUCUGCCCGAUAGUGGGGGAUAACCUGGGGAAACCCAGGCUAAUACCGCAUACGUCCUACGGGAGAAAGGGGGCUCCGGCUCCCGCUAUUGGAUGAGCCUAUGUCGGAUUAGCAAGAUGGUGAGGUAAUGGCUCACCAAGGCAACGAUCCGUAGCUGGUCUGACAGGAUGAUCAGCCACAUCGGGACUGAGACACGGCCCGAACUCCUACGGGAGGCAGCAGUGGGGAAUAUUGGACAAUGGGGGCAACCCUGAUCCAGCCAUGCCGCGUGUGUGAAGAAGGCCCUCGGGUUGUAAAGCACUUUCAGCGAGGAAGAACGCCUAGUGGUUAAUACCCAUUAGGAAAGACAUCACUCGCAGAAGAAGCACCGGCUAACUCCGUGCCAGCAGACGCGGUAAUACGGAGGGUGCAAGCGUUAAUCGGAAUUACUGGGCGUAAGCGCGCGUAGGUGGCUUGAUAAGCCGGUUGUGAAAGCCCCGGGCUCACCUGUGAACGGCAUC
Molecule: ribosomal RNA, 576 nt
Filed under: uncultured bacterium
Lineage: Bacteria
Description: bacterial SSU rRNA
Rfam family: Bacterial small subunit ribosomal RNA
Source: RNAcentral